Molecule: ribosomal RNA, 301 nt
Filed under: uncultured bacterium
Lineage: Bacteria
Description: partial 16S ribosomal RNA
Rfam family: Bacterial small subunit ribosomal RNA
Source: RNAcentral
CAGUAGCCACGGUAAUACGGAGGGUGCAAGCGUUAUCCGGAUUCACUGGGUUUAAAGGGUGCGUAGGCGGAUCUGUAAGUCAGUGGUGAAAUCUCCAGGCUUAACCUGGAAACUGCCGUUGAUACUAUAGGUCUUGAAUUUUGUGGAGGUUAGCGGAAUAUGUCAUGUAGCGGUGAAAUGCAUAGAUAUGACAUAGAACACCAAUUGCGAAGGCAGCUGGCUACACAACUAUUGACGCUGAGGCACGAAAGCAUGGGGAUCAAACAGGAUUAGAUACCCCCGUAGUCCCUGUCUCUUAUAC